Molecule: ribosomal RNA, 97 nt
Filed under: uncultured bacterium
Lineage: Bacteria
Description: partial 16S ribosomal RNA
Source: RNAcentral
CACCGCCCGUCACAUCACGAAAGUGGGUUGUACUAGAAGUCUGUGCCCUGACCCGCAAGGGGAGGAGCGGCCCAAGGUAUGACUCAUGAGUUGGGUG